CCUACGGGAGGCAGCAGUGAGGAAUAUUGGUCAAUGGGCGUAAGCCUGAACCAGCCAAGUCGCGUGAGGGAUGAAGGUUCUAUGGAUCGUAAACCUCUUUUGUAAGGGAGUAAAGUGCGGGACGUGUCCCGUUUUGUAUGUACCUUAUGGAUAAGGAUCGGCUAACUCCGGGCCCGCAGCCGCGGUUAUACGGGGGAUUCGGACGGUAUCCGGAUUUUUUUGGUUUAAAGGGUGGGUAGGCGGCCUUUUAAGUCAGCGGGGAAAGUCUGUGGCUCAAACAUAGGAGUGCCGUUGAAACUGGUAGGCUUGAGUGUGUUUGAGGCAGGCGGAAUGCGUGGUGUAGCGGUGAAAUGCUUAGAUAUCACGCAGAACCCCGAUUGCGAAGGCAGCCUGCCAAGCCAUGACUGACGCUGAUGCACGAAAGCGUGGGGAUCAAACAGGAUUAGAUACCCCAGUAGUC
Molecule: ribosomal RNA, 460 nt
Filed under: uncultured bacterium
Lineage: Bacteria
Description: partial 16S ribosomal RNA
Rfam family: Bacterial small subunit ribosomal RNA
Source: RNAcentral